GGGAAAGAUUAAGGAAGUAUAGUAUCCAGAGUGGGUGAUUAACAUGAAAUGGGAUAUUGCUAGAAAUAGGGAUAGAAAGCUGUUACAAAUAAAUAAGAAAUGGCUCAUUGAGAAUGGUUUGGAUGAGGAAUACGUUUAUUUUUCAACAAUGUUCAGUACACAAUAUGAAAACAUUAAAGGACCACUAUAGUGCCAGGAAAACAUACUCGUGGCACCCCCUCCCGCUGGGCUCUGGGGAGAGUAAGGGGUUAAACUUACCUCUUUCUCCAGCGCCGGGCGGGAAGCUUUCCUCCUCCUCUCCUCCCUCUUCUCCUCCUCUUCGGCUGAAUGCGCAUGAUUUUCACAG
This is a non-coding RNA of Pelobates cultripes (western spadefoot toad), 346 nucleotides long. The record is from the annotation of a GenBank genome assembly. Lineage: Eukaryota; Metazoa; Chordata; Amphibia; Anura; Pelobatidae.